AUUACAACUAGCAUCUUUACAGAAGGAUCGUGGAUCAUUUUUUAGGUCUAAGGUAGAGGGGGUUACAGGUUGCUAUCCAUUUGAAAGUCUUCGAGCUGCUGUUGAUGUUCUCUUUAUACAUGGAAGUUCUGAUUUAGUAGUUGCAAAACAAGCGAUUCUACUUUAUUACAUUUUUGAUUGGCAUUGGACAAUGCUGGAUGGAACUUGGAGGCGCAUUGUAGAUGACUUUGCAGCUACUUUUGGUAUAACCAGGCAUGCAUUACUUGAAUCGCUUGUCUUUUAUCUUCUAGAUGACCACACAGAUGAAGCUCUAAAGGAAGCUUGUCACCUUCUUCCUGAGAUCUCAAGCCCAUCAAUUCAUCCUAAGAUUGCUCAAGUGCUAUUAGAAAGAGAAGCACCAGAAACGGCUCUGAUGGUCUUGCGGUGGUCUGGGCGUGAUGGAUCUCAGAUGGUUUCACUUAGUGAGGCUGUUACUGCAGUUCGGGUGAGGGUUGAGUGUGGACUUCUGACUGAAGCUUUUAUGCAUCAGAGGAUGCUCUGUACCAAAGUCAGGGAAAAGAAGUGGAAAGAUGAACUAACCGAGGAUGCUUCUGAUGAUUUGAAACGUGAAUGUAGGACUUGGGAGGACUGGGUGAAGGUACUGGUGACUGAAAUUUGUUGUCUUUGCAUCAAGAGCAAAUUGGUAGACCGGAUGAUAGAAUUUCCUUGGAAUUUGGAUGAAGAGAAAUAUGUCCAUAAAUGUCUUUUAGAUUGUGCAAUCGAUGACCCUUCAACAACCACUGGAAGUCUUCUUGUUGUAUUUUAUCUUCAGCGCUACAGAUAUGCCGAGGCAUGCCAAGUUGAUCUCAAACUUCAGGGUGUGGAGCAGGAUUUCGUUUCAAAUAAUUCUGUCAGUGAAGAAGUUUUGUCUAAAGUGAGAUCAGCUAGUGAUUGGAGAACAGGGCUUGUUGCUAAAUCCAUUGAAUUGCUACCACAAGUCCAACAGCAGCAAGCAAAGACUGGAAAAAUGGUGUCUGAGAUUUAUAAUAUUUCUGGUGAACAAGUUAAAACACCUGCGAAGUCUGAUAGUCCAAUGGUACAAAAGCCAAAGUCAAUCAAUUUGUUGAUUCCCCAAUAUGCUGAUUCUUCUCUUGUUCUGAAGUCAAAUCAUGGAAUUCCAUUUAAAUCAUCAGUCCUUAAAACUCCAACACCACUUGAUGGAUCCAUCAACAAAUCUCGCUUUGAACCUGGUAACUAUGGCUCUCCAUCAAUUCUCCAAGCAAGGUUAUUCACAAAUGCCAGAAAAGGACUGAAGCCACAAGUUAGCAAUCACAAGAAUGUUAAAUAUGAUGGAACCCCAACUCCUGGAAUUCCUUGGGUUAGUCCUAUGAGUGCUACACCAUUAAAGGAUAUCAGCAGAACUUCAUUGGGAGUGCUUCCUGACAAUGACCUGCAUCAUGGUCAGUUUGAUAGCGACUUACCAGAAAUGGAACAAAAUGGGUUCGCUGAGCAACUCCAAAGUAGAGGUCCCCUUUAUUCCCACAAGGUUACAGCUAAUGUAAUUGCUAUGUCUGGUGGCCAUUGCGGGUUUCCUAGUGAUUCUGCACAGGUGUCUGGUAAAAGGAUCCAUCCUGAAAGAUCAGAUGAUGGACUUCGGAGAAUGACUUAUGGAGAUGAUGCAAUAGAUAUUGGUUCGAGUGGUAGAGAAAAGGGGUUCACUGCUGAUGAUGGAAUUGUGAAUGGUGGGCCAAGAUGGAGGUCUGAUGAAUCUAGUGAUGAGGAAGAUGAGCAUAAUUUGGAGAGAGCUGUUAAAGGAGCUUCUUAUAGAACUCCCAGAAGAGGAAUUAGAAGAAGUAGGUUUGCUAGAAGAUGAAGAUUGCUGGUGUCCAUUUGACAAACUAUUGAUUUGUCUGAUCAACUGAAUAAAAAUGGGUGAGCUAGAAGCAACAUGAGUGAGCAGUGAAACAAAGCCAUAACUCUUUUUGUUUACUUGUUCCAUUAGAGUACAUAAUAUACUAUAUAUUGAUUCAUAGUUGCAAAAUGAGAAUCGUAUCAUCUCCAUUUCUUCUUGCUGAGCCGUUGAUCAAAUGUGGGUUCUUGGCAGGGCUGCAUUUUUGUUCGAUGUCAAGCAAUUCUGUUUCCGUACUGCUUUCUUCUUUCUCUUUGGUAGCUGUAGCUGCCAACAUUUUUGUAACUUGUAAUAUAUGCAUGAUCAAUUACCAAUAUUUUUACUGCUUUGUCUGAUUGGC
RNAcentral lists this unclassified non-coding RNA (2228 nucleotides) under Hevea brasiliensis (rubber tree). Lineage: Eukaryota; Viridiplantae; Streptophyta; Magnoliopsida; Malpighiales; Euphorbiaceae. The record is from RNAcentral.